UUCCAGCCUUCCUCUCCUUCCUCUACCUUACACCCUAACCUGCACUACCACUUUUGCUUACCCUACACCACACCAUCUUCUCUGCCCAAAAACUCAUGAACGAGCAACAACAAACCCAAGCAGCAUAUAUCCUUGUCAUUGCUAUUCGGCAUACUGUCAUUGCACGAGCAAUACAGUCACUGUGCCGCUAGUUACAGUCAAACAUAGCAACGCAUCUCCACGCACAACACCACCAAACUACGCCUAAAACAGCAGCAAAAAAAAGCAGAGCAAAAACAGAACAAUUUGGAUUCGACAAAACCCGUAAUGUAGUUCGACCGAACUGAAAAUUUAGAGUUCCUAAUCGUAUGAGGUUCGGUCGAACCUCAAUGGCGUUCUCCCAAACCGACAAAAGUUCGUCCGAACAUCACAAGUGUUCGUCCGAACCUAUUUGAGCGCUCAAUUGUUGUACGGAAUUAAUGAAGUCACGUGGCUGCGCUCAUGGUUGGGGUUGAUGGAAAAUCGACGGUGAUGAUGGUUGAUUGAAGGAGGAUGGACGGUGAUAAUGAUAGUUGAUGAGAUGGUGAUGAUGGAUGAUCGAUGGAGGAUGGGGAUCGACGGCAAGGAUGAUAUGAAGAGGAGAGGAUGCAGCGAUGGUGAUGAUGAAUGACGAUCGAUGAUGAUUGACGGUGAAGAUUGAUGAUGGAGGCGCAGGGAAGGAGGUCGAAGGAGCGAAGGCAACGAAGAAAUUGGGGUUGCCGGUUUCUUUUGUUUAUUGGGGGGUCUGAUGCAUUUUUGGGUCAUUUGGUUUCCUUUCUUUCUAUUUUUCUUUUUAUUUUUCCUUUUCUUUUAUUCUUUUUCAUUUAUUUCUUUUUGUUUCUUUGUUUUUUUUUUUUACUUUCUUUAUUUUAUUUGCUUUUUUUAGAAGAGUAGUAUAAAAUACCCAAGUUGGGUCAUAAACAAGGGGCAACUCAUUUUUGCAAUGUACAUAUUUUAGGCUUUUCUCUCUAAUUUUUUAGGGUUUAGGGUUUAUGCUUAGUUUUUGAGGUAGAGAAAAUUAGGAAAAUCAAUGAAAAAUUGAGGGUUUUGAUAUGCAAGUGUGACAAUUUGAAUAGAACAACCAACAAUCAAUCAAUGAGCAUUUAUA
This is a long non-coding RNA of Spinacia oleracea (spinach), 1126 nucleotides long. RefSeq lists it as uncharacterized. NCBI's taxonomy places the organism in Eukaryota, Viridiplantae, Streptophyta, Magnoliopsida, Caryophyllales, Amaranthaceae. The record is from RefSeq and is a predicted model, not a curated record. The transcript is spliced from 2 exons.